AGAGUUUGAUCAUGGCUCAGGACGAACGCUGGCGGCGUGCUUAACACAUGCAAGUCGAGCGAAGUUAUGGAGUAGUUUACUAUGAAAUAACUUAGCGGCGGACGGGUGAGUAACACGUGGGCAACCUGCCCUGUACAGGGGGAUAGCCAACCGAAAGGUUGAUUAAUACCGCAUAAUCCAGAGGAAUCGCAUGAUAUAUCUGGCAAAGGAGGAAUCCGGUACAGGAGGGGCCCGCGGCCCAUUAGCUAGUUGGUGGGGUAACGGCCCACCAAGGCGACGAUGGGUAGCCGAUCUGAGAGGAUGACCGGCCACAUUGGAACUGAGACACGGUCCAGACUCCUACGGGAGGCAGCAGUGGGGAAUAUUGCGCAAUGGGGGGAACCCUGACGCAGCAACGCCGCGUGGAGGAAGAAGGCCUUCGGGUCGUAAACUCCUGUCAUUUGGGACGAAGGAUGACGGUACCAAAUGAGGAAGCCACGGCUAACUACGUGCCAGCAGCCGCGGUAAUACGUAGGUGGCGAGCGUUGUCCGGAAUUACUGGGCGUAAAGGGUGCGUAGGCGGUUAUAAAAGUCAGAUGUGAAAUUCCGGGGCUCAACUUCGGAAUUGCAUUUGAAACUUUAUAGCUAGAGUGCAGGAGAGGGAAGCGGAAUUCCUAGUGUAGCGGUGAAAUGCGUAGAUAUUAGGAAGAACACCAGUGGCGAAGGCGGCUUUCUGGACUGUAACUGACGCUGAGGCACGAGAGCGUGGGGAGCAAACAGGAUUAGAUACCCUGGUAGUCCACGCUGUAAACGAUGAGUGCUAGGUGUAGGAGGUAUCGACACCUUCUGUGCCGCAGUAAACGCAAUAAGCACUCCGCCUGGGGAGUACGGUCGCAAGACUAAAACUUAAAUGAAUUGACGG
This 901-nucleotide ribosomal RNA is filed under the name uncultured bacterium. Its description in RNAcentral is "bacterial SSU rRNA". It matches the Rfam family "Bacterial small subunit ribosomal RNA", at positions 8 to 916 of the family's 1533-position model. The record is from RNAcentral.